GCAUAAAAUCAGGAAUUUAAUUCCCAAUUAAAUUUUCCUUGAUAGAAAACUUAUUGAAAAAUUCCAAAGUAAUUUUUCAGGAUUUUAGGAAACGUUUUUAGCUGUAAAAAAAAUUCAAAACCGUGGCUUUCUGCUGUAGAGGCAGCAACGGUUUUGACUCCACCAACUCAGUUUUAUGAAAGCUUAAUUCUAGGGAUUUAAAUCCUUAACAUUCUUGGCAGCAAUUUGGAUAAUUUAUGGAACCUUUUCAUAAAAAAACAUCCUCAGCCAAUUGGUGCAACUAAUUGCACAAAUUUAGGCCUUUAUUGGUUGCCAAGCCAAACCAAACUAUGACUGUCUCUGUUGCAAACAGCAACUGUUUUAUCCACGUUUUGGUAACUUUACCUCCACCAUUAGCCACACAUAAUCACCCAUAUUGGAACAUUUCCAAUGUGUAUUGACCUCUUAAUUUUCCAGCAUUUUAUGAAGUACUUAAGCCUCACUUUUAUGGCAGAAAAUGGAGCCAUACCAUGGCUGGACAGAAUCGAAUUCUACCAUUUAAAUCACACCAUAAUGUCAUGAGAUCGAAUCUUUAUUUGUUAAAUUAAUUUGUGCAUCUCAUGCACUUGUUAAUCUGCAAUAUUUUGACAUUAAAACGAGAUUAAUAUUAUGACAAAUAAAUUUUAAAAUUUACAAUUAAAAUCUAUUUAGAAAUCAAAACAACUAGAACAAAUUGUAAAAUUUUAAAACUUACUAAUUUGUGUAGAACAAUACCCGAACACCUCAUAUUCCUUUUCAACAAGGCAUUAACAAUAAUAGACAUAAACAUGUGCUAAAAUUGAACCAAGGAAGGCUUUGAUACCACUAAUGGGUUUCACUAUGGAUGGCAUGCUCAAAAUACACAGCGGAAAGAAAAUUAAAAACUUUAUAACUGAACAACAAAACAUGCCUCUGCCCAUGGAUCACUUUGGUGAUAUUUAACACAUAAAAGCACAAAAUAAAUUAUUGUUUAGAAAGUUACCUUGCCAUGUAAUUUCGUAAUCACGAUGGCACUUUCCGAAGCAAUCCCAUGAACACCACAAGGAGCCAAAACCCUAGCUAAUCAAGUGCUUGGCCUCCAGUGGUAGUAUACACGAUUACACUUGAACCUUCAACAAAGGAUGGAGUUUUUAACUAUACUUUGUGCUAGCAAAGAGGACAACAAUUGUCCUUUUCAUAUUUUUCACAAUCUUAGCCGAACCUCUCUCGAAAAUUGCUUCAUAAGCAAUUUUCUCUUUCACACAAAGGGAGUGGUGGCAAAGAAAGAAAACGUUUUUCUUUUUUUGACAAAAACUAGGUUUUCUUCAAUUGUGAAAAACACUCAUAUGGAAAAUGGUUGAAAGGUGACUUAUAUAGUUAGGUUAAAAUAACUUCAAUUUUGUAAUUAAGCCCUCAAUAUUAUAACACAUUAUAAUAUUGGGCCCAUUACUUAAUUAAGCUCUUCUAAUUAAGUCCUUGGAAAUGAAAAUCAAAAUUAAUUUCCUUUAUAUUUUGCAAUCAAGGCCUUAUAAUUAUAACUAUUUAUAAUUAUGCCAAAAACUUAAUUAAACUCUUUUAAUUAAGUUUAUAGAAGUUAAUUACCUAGCAUCCCAUAACCUUUCUCGAUAAUUAUAUUACCAGCUUACCUCUGUCAAAUCAAAAGAUUUCUAUACACAUUUAGUGAUUUAAACUGCUACUUUACAUUCCGUUCGAGUCAUACAUAAUAAAAGCCAACUCUUAACUCCUUUGUACAGGUAACUACUACAUUUUCCCUUUUUACUUUUCUAUUUUAUUCCCAUAGGUCAAGUUUAAUCCAUGAAUAUUAGGGUAUAAUCAACUCCAAAUUACCCUUUUGAAUGUUGGAGUAGGAUUUAAUUUACCUCCUACCAUAAAUUGUUUCUUAUGUAAUCAAUACGGGUUCUCAUUGUGCCUAUGCAUAACUUCACAUAAUUUACAUGCUUAUACUCUUUUUUUAUCAUUUCUAACCCUAUGUAUAAGCUCCAUUAUGCCGCGCAUCCUUGCAUCAUAAUGUCAUUAACCACAUUUCAAUCAUUAAAUAUCAUUUUCACCCAAUCACAAUCCGAUAUCCACAUAUACUUUAACUUUAUGAUUUUAUUGAUCCUUCAAAGGUUUUCUUUAAAUCAUCCUUGCAGCUUAUGCAAUAUCACAAUUCCUAAAAGUCAUCUUCGUUUAUCUUUUACCUUGUAUACUUCCAUUAUAUAUGUCCUUAUUUGUUUCCAUGUUAGUUAGUUACUUAAGAUUUAAAUUCAUUGAAGUCGUGUGCACUUCUUACAUUUUGAAUACUAGUUUCCCACGUUAGGAAAUUUUUCAUUAACCAACUUCAUUAUCAGGAUUACCUUCAAUCAUCUUGUACUAUUUCUUUACACUAAUAUAUUCAUUCGUUCUAUUUAGCGUCUGCACAAUCAACUCUGAUAUUUAUAAACUUAAUAUAGAUUUUACUGAGGUAUCCCUCGACAUCAUCCCCAAUAUCUAAUUUCAAUCUCACAUCAAGCAGCCUCAUAACUUAUGCUUUAACCAUUAAACUCCUUGACAAUUCCAAGUUCCACAUUUCCUUAUCAUGUAUAUAAAUAUUUUAAAGUAUUACUAACAAUUAUUCUUAACACUUGCAUUUUGGUCUAUUCGUUUCAAAACUCUUAUACAUUGCCAAUAUAUAAGUCAACAAAGGAACUUUCCAAUUCAUUCAUAUCAAUAACUUCCAAAACCUUAAAACUGUAAUUAACGAAGCUUAACAUCAAGUCAAAUAACCUUAAUUCAAUUCGUAAGUUCAACUUCCCGUCUUUCACCUCUUAUUCCACAGUCUCUAUAACAGGUGUUUCUAACCAACUGUUCUACUAGAGGGGUAUAAACUACAAUUUCCUCUUCUAAAAGUGACAGGUUUCUAUCAGAAAAGGAUGCGAAUGUCUCGCUCACAUAAGAUCUAUCUGAACCAGAAUCCAUUAAGACAUAAGCAUCUCUGUCAAAUACAAACAUGGUACCUGUCACUGCACUGGGUCGAACUUGUGUCUCUUCCUCUCCUAACUAAUCUAGCGAGAGGUGGGAGUCCACUUCAAGGUGACAUAAUAAUUUAUAAGAAGAACUAGAACGAGUUUAGACAACUUCAGUUUCUAUAUGCAGAUGCAUGCAUUCAACUCAAUCUAAUCUAACUUGGGGCCACAUUGACACUGUAGUUUUUAAAAUAACUUUAAAAUCAAAAGCUCUGAUGCCAAUAGAAAUGUCAUGACCCGGUACUCCUUUCAAGCCCGUGACAUCCGUCGCAAUGUCUCAAUAGAUAUUCAUUACCCGGAAUGUCAACCGAAACCUCGCAAGGCUCUCGCAUCAGUUUUACAUCUCCCCUAUGAGCAAUAGUUACUAAAUAUCAUGUUUUAAGGGAAUAUAAACUAUUUUUAAAUCAAAACAAGCAAAAAAAUAAUUUCUACCACAAAGGGGUAUUUUGGUCAUUUUUACUUGAAAGUUUUGAAACCUGGUAAAAAUACAGCAUCCGAUCGAAAAAUAUAUAUUUCUUAUCUAAAAAUAAUUUGAGUAAUCUAAAUCAUCCAUUUAAAAUAAAAUUUUGGCUAAUCAAACUAAACAAAAAUAUUAAAUAAAAUAUUCCAUUUUCUUAUAAAACAAUAUUUAUAGAACGCUGUGUAAAUAAUUUUUGUAGUGUAAAAGCAAAAUAAAUUCAUACAUACAGUGGCACACGCAGCCAGGUAUACAAAAUAUUGUACAUUGACAUGUGGGCCCCCAAAAUAAACAUAUAUGUACAAGAUUAUAGACUUGCGAUUUCUAAGGGUGCAAAUCCAAAAGCAAGCCCUCGACAUAAUCAGCGGUCUACAGACUGCCCUGAACUUGAAAUGGGUGAAAAAAAGGAGUGAGUUUUUAUAAACCCAGUGAGUAAGCAAAUUUCAUCUAAAACAUCUAAAGCCGAGUAAAUGGAGACAAUUUAAAAUAUCUCAUCAUAAUAUGAUUCAUAACAUCAAAUCUCAUUUCAUUUCAUAUAAAUCAAUUUCAUUUUAUAAAAAUCAACAAGGCUUAUGAUUCUCGUAAAAACUUGGCUCGUGCCAAAAACUUGCACUCGGUGACACCUUGCGCCGAGGCAUCCAACCGAGUCCGCCAAGGCUGUUUAAAUAACAUAUAAGUAUAAAACUCAUUUUUUUACAUUUAAAAGCAUAACCUUUCCUUGGCGUUGGUUGAGUUUCACCUUCACGUGGUGGUUCGGCGUGAAGUGAACUCUAACGUUGCCUUAGGAGAUACCCUCCGCGCCUCUCGUACUAAGGUAAAAUAAAAUGGGGUUUAUCGUGCCCUUCUAAUAGGCUGGUCCACAGAAACCCGCCCACUGUAAUAAGCUAAUCAAAUAACCCACCAAUUCAAUAAAAUUUUCGACAACAUGACAUGGCUAAUAUAAUAUUACCAGCCUGUCCAGGCAAAGCAAAACAGUUCAUAUAUUCCACACAAACACAAAUCCAGCCAUGCUUGCCAUCAAUUCAAACCAUAUGUCAAAACUUAUAUAUAACACAAGUAUACAGUCUCCACUUACUCAAUUUCCAAAACCAGUAUUCAAUUUCAAAACAAGUUAUAAAUCUCUUUUUGUUUAAUCAACACCUCAAUUAUAAAACAUAAUAGUUUGCAAUUUAAAUUCAUUUUUCUUUAAAACAUAAAAAUGAGUAUAAACUACUUUAGAUAGUUAAGAUGAAAGUCUGAUUACUCACCGUAACAGGAGUAUGGAGUACUCCUAUUCUUGGUCCUCGGGUACGAUAUCCUUACUCUUACUAGAAGGCUCACAACCUAUAAAUAAUACACGACACGUAAUUCAAUAUAUUUGUGUCAAACUGUUAUAAAACUAUUUCAGGCUUUAUAUAUGAAUGCAUGACAAUGAAUGAGAAUUGUUCGAAUAAUCACUUAAAGACAUUGUUCUAUGUGGGUUCAAUUAUGAUUGGACUGAAUUGGCAUUCAACCUAACUCGCACUAUGCCUUGUUUAAUUAGCCAAAACAUCCAAUUCAACUAUAAAUAUCGUCAUUACACUUCCAAUAUUCCAAAUACACCAAAGCAUUACAAUGAACUUGAUUUUUGACUAACUUCACCAUGUUCCAAAAUUCAUUCUGAUUCCGAACUAACAUACUAAUCAAUGUCUACACAGUCUCGUAAAUCCAUAUAUAUCAUUAGGAAUCAAAUCCAAGUCCAUUUACUAUGAUUUUCUCAUUUUCCAUCAAGCCAUUUUCUAACGGAACUAUACUUUUCAAUAAUCGGUUUCGAUAUCCAACAUCAUAAUUCAUCAAUUCCUAGCUAAAUAACAUGAAUUACAACCAAAUCCAUCAUCAACAUGCCCUAUAGAAAAUUUGGCCAAAUGAGGGUGAUUGAAGAACAUGUGAUUUUCUUGCUUGUUUUUCCUUCCAAACAUCACAAAAUGACUAAAAACAUUAGGAUAUUAUGAAAUCUAGCAAAAUUCAUCACCAAAACUUCUUUCUCUAGAUUUGGCCAGCAAAGGUUCCCUCUUGAAAACUUGAAUUUCAGCCAUGGAGAAUGAAAAAGAAUGCGUGGCAAAGGUAGAUCACAAGAUAAAAUUAAAAAAUCUUACCUUUACUUGCUUGAUUCCUUGAUAUCCAACAAUUUCUCUUGAAUUUUUUCCUUCCUAGGGUUUGUUCUUCUCUUUUUC
Molecule: long non-coding RNA, 5651 nt
Filed under: Theobroma cacao (cacao)
Lineage: Eukaryota; Viridiplantae; Streptophyta; Magnoliopsida; Malvales; Malvaceae
Description: long non-coding RNA (TCAC_LNC004547)
Source: RNAcentral